Long non-coding RNA from Xiphophorus maculatus (southern platyfish), 808 nucleotides. RefSeq lists it as uncharacterized. The record is from RefSeq and is a predicted model, not a curated record. NCBI's taxonomy places the organism in Eukaryota, Metazoa, Chordata, Actinopteri, Cyprinodontiformes, Poeciliidae. The transcript has 3 exons.
GAAGAAGAAGAAGAAGAACAGGCUUAGCGAGUUCUUGACCUGACGCCGACCCUGGUAUAACCCCUCUGAUCUCUCUGUGAACCUGGGCCCCUCAGUAGGGGCCCCACAACGAUCAGGCUGAUGGGGAUCUGACUCUGCGUCCAUUAAAGCCCAGUCAGGAAGACACAAACCAUUUAUCAGCCUGUCAGCUCUUGCCGCCGGUGUUUUUUCAGACAGUUAGGAUUUACUCAGACUGUGGAGAGCUGGCACUGCUCUCUGAUAGGCCGUAUCUGCUCCACACACAGCAGAAACUGGUGAUCUGUGGGACUCCUCUGUUCAACCUGCUCGGAAAUGUGGACUGAUGGCGCCAUCUAGUGCACAAGCAUGUAGUCUGUUUUUUUUUCUCACCAGGCAUGCUGUAAAAACAAAAAAAUAUAUAUUAAUAAAAAAAAUGAGUUUUCCAAAUACAUGUACAAAUAGUUUUUUUAAAAAAGCGUUAGAAGAUGAGCACAGGUUAUGUUUAAGAAGAACUCAGUGGAUCAAGCAUAAAAUGCAAAAUUUUCACAAUAACUUUAUUUAAAUAAAAUAAAAUGGCAGUUUUUAAAGCUGGGUAAAGAAAGAGAGUUUUUUUAUGUCAUGUCUAAAUGGUAAAGCUGUUAUUACAGUGUCUAUAGAAAAACUUAACUUUGUUCGAAAAGUACAAACUGUUUUCCAUAACUACAAUGACCAUCCAAGCUUUUGGACUUUAUAAUCUCUUAAACUAAAUUGUGAUUUACAGAAGGAAUAAAUGAAGUGCAGCUCAUCUCGGAGUGUUUGUCGCUUUUUGUUG